GGCACAAGUCGGCAGCUGUCCGCGGAGGCGGAACGCGGAAAGUAUGGAGCAGCCUGAAGAAGGGGAAGCUAAAAGGAUAGCUACUUAGGUAGCGUUAAUAAAAUUGCAGGUUAAGCAUCUCCCUGCACAACAUCCGGCCCGACUCCUUCAGCAGGAAGUAGCGGAUCAGCAUCGGCACCUGGUCAGCCAGCCGCUGGACAACAAUCUGUGGAGCGGGGAAGGGAGGAAGGGAUAUUUUAUGGGAUUGGAAAACAAUAAUGUGUUUGUAAUAAUACACAGCCCUGGGCCAUGUCUACUUUCAAUUCGUCAUGGGGGUGGGGGGGUUGGGGUCCGUUUUGAGCUUUUUAAACUUUUCUUAUCAGACCACAGAACGUCUUUAGUAGUCAGAAUGACAUUAGACCUCAUAAAUUCAUAAUGCAUUUCAUCAGUGCAUGAUGGAAUUGAAAACUGUCAGCAUGAGUGGUGAUCAACAGGAUCUACAAGACAAACUUUGCAGGUUUUAUUAUUGCAGUAGAAAAACCAUACAUCUGCUGGAACUGUACAUCAUCUGAAGACUACCCAGUAUAGAAUGAUCAACUGUUUAAACAACUUCAAACACGUCUACGUACUGCAGCAGGUCUUCUUCCUGACUCACCUCAUAGUAGGCCUUGAGCAUGGCCGGGUACUUGGACCUGCUAUCGAAGUCUGCACAGUUACUGUCAGAAGCCUUCUCCCCGCCUGAAACCAUGCAUUCAUUCAGGCUUUUGUAGUAGAUGGCGUCCUGUGUGUAGACUAGCUGCUCCAUUUCAAAUUGUUCCAAGAGCCUCUCCUGCACCAGGGACUCCUGUGUUGACUGUAUGUUGUCUAUCUUGUUCUGGGGAUGGUGGGGAGAUCGAGGGGGAAAGAGCAAUACGUUCAGAGCAGAGGGACCCAGACUUUUACAUCACAAAAUAACCACCCUGUGGUUUGACACAUUUAUCCAAAACAUGUUACCACCUGCAGUGCAGUGGCAGUUUAACACAUUAACACAAGUAGCAUGUCUAUAUCAUUAUGACAUUACAUUAUAUUUUUAGGGUCAUAUGGCUGUUUAUUUCAUUAAACAUGUUUAAUUACUUUAAUCAUCUGUAUGUAUGGUUUCUUAAUAAAUUGAAAGGCUUACAUAUUUUUCA
Molecule: long non-coding RNA, 1148 nt
Organism: Anguilla rostrata (American eel)
Lineage: Eukaryota; Metazoa; Chordata; Actinopteri; Anguilliformes; Anguillidae
Exons: 2
Source: RefSeq, a predicted model, not a curated record